UCAACAACAUCUGUGCAUUAAAAGCAUCAGUGGUCAGCAGCAAAACCAGUCCAACCUCCUCAAACAGAGAUUCCUCUCAAAUAGCUGAUGACACAGAUUAUUCCCUAUAUUUCGUUUGUAUUCCUGUUUUUCUUCUCCUGCUGGGACUGGGAGGAGUCAUCUACAGGAGAUGCAGAGGACAGAGACGAGGACAGGCGGACGGUCAAGAGCAAAUAAGGGUGAAUAGAGAACAGAAAUCACAGGAUGAACUGACGUACUGUACUGUCGUCCACAGCAACACAACCACAACAACAACCACAGUCACUGACUUCGGAGAAAAGACAGAAUACGCCACCAUCAGAGUGAACUAGUAACACAUCUCACAUCAUAAAAAAUACAUACUCUGCUUUGUUUCAUGAUUUUUAAAACAUUUUCUAGCUUCUGCCUUUGCAUAUUCAA
Molecule: long non-coding RNA, 438 nt
Organism: Pygocentrus nattereri (red-bellied piranha)
Lineage: Eukaryota; Metazoa; Chordata; Actinopteri; Characiformes; Serrasalmidae
Exons: 4
Source: RefSeq, a predicted model, not a curated record